UACGUAGGCGGAAAAUUAAGUCAGUAGUGAAAUCCUGCAGCUUAACUGUAGAACUGUUAUUGAUACUGGUUUUCUUGAAUAUAGUUGAGGUAGGCGGAAUGUGUAAUGUAGCGGUGAAAUGCUUAGAUAAUACACAGAACACCGAUUGCGAAGGCAGCUUACUAAGCUAUGAUUGACGCUGAGGUACGAAAGCGUGGGGAGCGAACAGGAUUAGAUACCCUGGUAGUCC
This 229-nucleotide ribosomal RNA is filed under the name uncultured bacterium. RNAcentral describes it as "partial 16S ribosomal RNA". It matches the Rfam family "Bacterial small subunit ribosomal RNA", at positions 568 to 796 of the family's 1533-position model. The record is from RNAcentral.